GCGUCUGUCGUUCAACCUGGUUCGGACUCUAGCCUUCCAAGCUAGUAAUCCGGGUUCAAAUCCCGGCGGACGCA
RNAcentral lists this transfer RNA (74 nucleotides) under Candidatus Martarchaeota archaeon. RNAcentral describes it as "tRNA-Gly". It matches the Rfam family "tRNA". Rfam says of the family: Transfer RNA (tRNA) molecules are approximately 80 nucleotides in length. Their secondary structure includes four short double-helical elements and three loops (D, anti-codon, and T loops). Lineage: Archaea; Thermoproteati; Thermoproteota. RNAcentral also lists the same sequence under 1 other name. The record is from RNAcentral.